GCCAGGCGCAAUGGUGCGUGUCUGUAGUCCCAGCUAUUUAGGAGGCUGAGACUGGAGGAUCUCUUGAACCCAGUUCUGGGCUGUAGUGCGCUGUGCUGAUCGGGUGCCUGCGCUAAGUUCAACAUCAAUAUGGUGACCUCCUGGGAGUGGGGGACCACCAGGUUGCCUAAGGAGGGGUGAACUGGCCCAGGUCAGAAACUGGGCAGGUCAAAACUCCCGUGCUGAUCAGUAGUGGGAUCACGCCUGUGAAUAGCCACUGCACUCCAGCCUGGGCAACAUAGCGAGACACUGUCUCU
RNAcentral lists this signal recognition particle RNA (296 nucleotides) under Saimiri boliviensis boliviensis (Bolivian squirrel monkey). RNAcentral describes it as "Metazoan signal recognition particle RNA (ENSSBOG00000003052.1)". It matches the Rfam family "Metazoan signal recognition particle RNA". Rfam says of the family: The signal recognition particle (SRP) is a universally conserved ribonucleoprotein. It is involved in the co-translational targeting of proteins to membranes. Lineage: Eukaryota; Metazoa; Chordata; Mammalia; Primates; Cebidae. The record is from RNAcentral.